Molecule: ribosomal RNA, 408 nt
Filed under: uncultured bacterium
Lineage: Bacteria
Description: partial 16S ribosomal RNA
Rfam family: Bacterial small subunit ribosomal RNA
Source: RNAcentral
GACGAACGCUGGCGGCGUGCUUAACACAUGCAAGUCGAACGGAGUGGCGAACGGGUUAGUAACACGUGGGUUACCUGCCCUGCACUUCGGGCUAAGCCUGGGAAACUGGGUCUAAUACCGGAUAGUGUGGGAUGGGCCCGCGGCCUAUCAGCUUGUUGGUGGGGUAAUGGCCUACCCAGGCGGCGACGGGUAGCCGGCCUGAGAGGGUGGACGGCCAAAUUGUGACUGGGACACGGCCCAGACUCUUACGGGAGGCAGCAGUGGGGAAUAUUGCACAAUGGGCGGAAGCGUGAUGCAGAGACGCCGCGUGGGGGAUGACGGCCUUCGGGUUGUAAACUCCUUUCACCAUCGACGCGGUAGUGGCAGAAGAAGCACCGGCUAACUACGUGCCAGCAGCCGCGGUAAUUC